CCUACGGGUGCAGCAGUGGGGAAUAUUGGACAAUGGGCGAAAGCCUGAUCCAGCCAUGCCGCGUGUGUGAAGAAGGCCUUCGGGUUGUAAAGCACUUUCAGUGGGGAAGAAAGCCUUGGGGCUAAUACCCUCGAGGAAGGACAUCACCCACAGAAGAAGCACCGGCUAACUCCGUGCCAGCAGCCGCGGUAAUACGGAGGGUGCGAGCGUUAAUCGGAAUUACUGGGCGUAAAGCGCGCGUAGGCGGUCUGAUAAGCCGGUUGUGAAAGCCCCGGGCUCAACCUGGGAACGGCAUCCGGAACUGUCAGGCUAGAGUGCAGGAGAGGAAGGUAGAAUUCCCGGUGUAGCGGUGAAAUGCGUAGAGAUCGGGAGGAAUACCAGUGGCGAAGGCGGCCUUCUGGACUGACACUGACGCUGAGGUGCGAAAGCGUGGGUAGCAAACAGGAUUAGAUACCCCUGUAGUC
This 464-nucleotide ribosomal RNA is filed under the name Vreelandella stevensii. RNAcentral's name for it is "partial 16S ribosomal RNA". It matches the Rfam family "Bacterial small subunit ribosomal RNA", at positions 338 to 795 of the family's 1533-position model. Lineage: Bacteria; Pseudomonadati; Pseudomonadota; Gammaproteobacteria; Oceanospirillales; Halomonadaceae. The record is from RNAcentral.